AGUGAACGCUGGCGGUAGGCCUAACACAUGCAAGUCGAACGGCAGCACAGUAAGAGCUUGCUCUUACGGGUGGCGAGUGGCGGACGGGUGAGGAAUACAUCGGAAUCUACUUUUUCGUGGGGGAUAACGUAGGGAAACUUACGCUAAUACCGCAUACGACCUACGGGUGAAAGCAGGGGAUCUUCGGACCUUGCGCGAUUGAAUGAGCCGAUGUCGGAUUAGCUAGUUGGCGGGGUAAAGGCCCACCAAGGCGACUAUCCGUAGCUGGUCUGAGAGUAUGAACGGCCCAACUGGAAAUGAGACACGGUCCAGACUCCUACGGGAGGAAGCAGUGGGAAAUAUUGGACAAGGGGCGCAAGCCUAAUCCAGCCAUACCGCGUGGGUGAAGAAGGCCUUCGGGUUGUAAAGCCCUUUUGUUGGGAAAGAAAAGCAGCAGAUUAAUACCCCGCUGUUCUGACGGUACCCAAAGAAUAAGCACCGGCUAACUUCGUG
Molecule: ribosomal RNA, 492 nt
Filed under: uncultured bacterium
Lineage: Bacteria
Description: partial 16S ribosomal RNA
Rfam family: Bacterial small subunit ribosomal RNA
Source: RNAcentral